This 74-nucleotide transfer RNA is filed under the name Cordylochernes scorpioides. RNAcentral's name for it is "tRNA-Thr". The record is from RNAcentral. Lineage: Eukaryota; Metazoa; Arthropoda; Arachnida; Pseudoscorpiones; Chernetidae.
UGUCCAGGGAUGGGAAUCGAACCCACAGUGUUCCGCUUACCGUGCAGAUGCCAUAUCCACUAGGCUACCCUGGC